This 86-nucleotide transfer RNA is filed under the name Rubripirellula sp. RNAcentral describes it as "tRNA-Leu". It matches the Rfam family "tRNA". Rfam says of the family: Transfer RNA (tRNA) molecules are approximately 80 nucleotides in length. Their secondary structure includes four short double-helical elements and three loops (D, anti-codon, and T loops). RNAcentral also lists the same sequence under 5 other names. The record is from RNAcentral. Lineage: Bacteria; Pseudomonadati; Planctomycetota; Planctomycetia; Pirellulales; Pirellulaceae.
GCGGACGUGGCGGAAUUGGCAGACGCGCCAGACUAAGGAUCUGGUCCUCAAUUGCGAGGGUGGAGGUUCAAAUCCUCUCGUCCGCA